RNAcentral lists this ribosomal RNA (497 nucleotides) under uncultured bacterium. RNAcentral describes it as "partial 16S ribosomal RNA". It matches the Rfam family "Bacterial small subunit ribosomal RNA", at positions 28 to 507 of the family's 1533-position model. The record is from RNAcentral.
GAUGAACGCUGGCGGCGUGCCUAAUACAUGCAAGUCGAGCGAACAGACGAGGAGCUUGCUCCUUUGACGUUAGCGGCGGACGGGUGAGUAACACGUAGGUAACCUACCUAUAAGACUGGGAUAACUUCGGGAAACCGGAGCUAAUACCGGAUAAUAUUUCGAACCGCAUGGUUCGAUAGUGAAAGAUGGCUUUUCUAUCACUUAUAGAUGGACCUGCGCCGUAUUAGCUAGUUGGUAAGGUAACGGCUUACCAAGGCAACGAUACGUAGCCGACCUGAGAGAGUGAUCGGCCACACUGGAACUGAGACACGGUCCAGACUCCUACGGGAGGCAGCAGUAGGGAAUCUUCCGCAAUGGGCGAAAGCCUGACGGAGCAACGCCGCGUGAGUGAUGAAGGUCUUCGGAUCGUAAAACUCUGUUAUUAGGGAAGAACAAACGUGUAAGUAACUGUGCACGUCUUGACGGUACCUAAUCAGAAAGCCACGGCUAACUACGUG